This 460-nucleotide ribosomal RNA is filed under the name uncultured bacterium. Its description in RNAcentral is "partial 16S ribosomal RNA". It matches the Rfam family "Bacterial small subunit ribosomal RNA", at positions 338 to 795 of the family's 1533-position model. The record is from RNAcentral.
CCUACGGGCGGCAGCAGUGAGGAAUAUUGGUCAAUGGGCGAAAGCCUGAACCAGCCAAGUAGCGUGAAGGAUGACUGCCCUAUGGGUUGUAAACCUCUUUUAUAUGGGAGUAAAACAGGGUAUGCAUACCCUCUUGUAUGGACCAUAUCAAUAAGGAACGGCUAAAUUCGUGCCAGGAGCCGCGGUAAUACGGAGGGUUCGAGCGUUACCCGGAUUUUUUGGGGUUAAAGGGAGCGGUGGUGGGGUUUCAAGUCAGUUGGUAAAGUUGCGGGCUCAACCGUAGCAUUGCAGUUGAAACUGGCAGUCUUGAGUACGGUAGAGGUGGGCGGAAUUCGUGGUGUAGCGGUGAAAUGCGUAGAUAUCACGAAGAACUCCGAUGGCGAAGGCAGCUCACUGGACUGCAACUGACACUGAGGCUCGAAAGCGUGGGUAUCAAACAGGAUUAGAUACCCGGGUAGUC